UCUUCCGAAGGCUAGGAGGUAGCGUAUGCCAGGCUGGGUAACCGAAAAGGUCGUAAAAGUUACUGGAUAAGGGACGGCGCUCCCGGCCUAGAGGAGAGAAGAGCAGGCCAGCAGGCGGGUGCGGCCGCCCUGUUAGAAAGGAAGUACAGACAUACCGGGAAGCUUCCAAGACUACGCCCCUUGUCGCUUCGGAAAUGGCGCGGUCCAACCGCGUCAAUCUUUUCGCCGUUACGGCGCGACUCGAGGCCGCGAUUCUGCCUCCGAGGUCACCACCUGCCUGGGUCACCACCUGCCUGGGUCCCUUUGCCUUCCAGCCUCCGGACGUUGAUCUCUCCAGGGAGGGGCUGGACGGGGCUAAAUUGGGAGAGGUGAGUGAUCAUAACCCCUCUUUCCAAACCAAACCAUAUGCGGCUAAACAAAUAAAAACGCGCCCUGCAAUGGA
Neofelis nebulosa (Clouded leopard) is the source of this 442-nucleotide long non-coding RNA. RefSeq lists it as uncharacterized. The record is from RefSeq and is a predicted model, not a curated record. Lineage: Eukaryota; Metazoa; Chordata; Mammalia; Carnivora; Felidae. The transcript has 2 exons.